This 2659-nucleotide ribosomal RNA is filed under the name Acinetobacter baumannii 25691_8. RNAcentral's name for it is "bacterial LSU rRNA". It matches the Rfam family "Bacterial large subunit ribosomal RNA". The record is from RNAcentral. Lineage: Bacteria; Pseudomonadati; Pseudomonadota; Gammaproteobacteria; Moraxellales; Moraxellaceae.
AGUGCAUGUGGUGGAUGCCUUGGCAGUCAGAGGCGAUGAAAGACGUGAUAGCCUGCGAAAAGCUCCGGGGAGGCGGCAAAUAUCCUUUGAUCCGGAGAUGUCUGAAUGGGGGAACCCACCUACUUUAAGGUAGGUAUUGCAACAUGAAUACAUAGUGUUGCAAGGCGAACGAGGGGAAGUGAAACAUCUCAGUACCCUUAGGAAAAGAAAUCAAUUGAGAUUCCCUCAGUAGCGGCGAGCGAACGGGGAUCAGCCCAUUAAGUUAUGUGUGUUUUAGUGGAACGCUCUGGGAAGUGCGAACGUAGAGGGUGAUAUUCCCGUACACGAAAGGGCACACAUAAUGAUGACGAGUAGGGCGAGGCACGUGAAACCUUGUCUGAAUAUGGGGGGACCAUCCUCCAAGGCUAAAUACUCCUGACUGACCGAUAGUGAACCAGUACCGUGAGGGAAAGGCGAAAAGAACCCCUGUGAGGGGAGUGAAAUAGAUCCUGAAACCGCAUGCAUACAAGCAGUGGGAGCACCUUCGUGGUGUGACUGCGUACCUUUUGUAUAAUGGGUCAGCGACUUAUAUUCAGUAGCGAGGUUAACCGUAUAGGGGAGCCGUAGAGAAAUCGAGUCUUAAUAGGGCGUUUAGUUGCUGGGUAUAGACCCGAAACCAGGCGAUCUAUCCAUGAGCAGGUUGAAGGUUGGGUAACACUAACUGGAGGACCGAACCCACUGUCGUUGAAAAGCCAGGGGAUGACUUGUGGAUAGGGGUGAAAGGCUAAUCAAGCCUGGUGAUAGCUGGUUCUCCCCGAAAGCUAUUUAGGUAGCGCCUCGGACGAAUACCAUAGGGGGUAGAGCACUGUUUCGGCUAGGGGGUCAUCCCGACUUACCAAACCGAUGCAAACUCCGAAUACCUAUGAGUACUAUCCGGGAGACAGACUGCGGGUGCUAACGUCCGUAGUCAAGAGGAAAACAAUCCAGACCGCCAGCUAAGGCCCCAAAAUCAUAGUUAAGUGGGAAACGAUGUGGGAAGGCAUAGACAGCUAGGAGGUUGGCUUAGAAGCAGCCACCCUUUAAAGAAAGCGUAAUAGCUCACUAGUCGAGUCGGCCUGCGCGGAAGAUGUAACGGGGCUAAAACUAUGUGCCGAAGCUGCGGAUGUAUACUUUGUAUACGUGGUAGGGGAGCGUUCUGUAAGCCGAUGAAGGUGUGUUGAGAAGCAUGCUGGAGGUAUCAGAAGUGCGAAUGCUGACGUGAGUAACGACAAAACGGGUGAAAAACCCGUUCGCCGAAAGACCAAGGGUUCCAGUCCAACGUUAAUCGGGGCUGGGUGAGUCGACCCCUAAGGCGAGGCCGAAAGGCGUAGUCGAUGGGAAAAUGGUUAAUAUUCCAUUACUUCUGUGUAAUGCGAUGAGAGGACGGAGAAGGCUAAAUCAGCCUGGCGUUGGUUGUCCAGGUGAAAGGAUGUAGGCAUGUAUCUUAGGCAAAUCCGGGGUACUCUAUGCUGAGAUCUGAUAGCAAGCUGUACUUGUACAGCGAAGUGGUUGAUGCCAUGCUUCCAGGAAAAGUCUCUAAGCUUCAGUUACACAGGAAUCGUACCCGAAACCGACACAGGUGGUCAGGUCGAGUAGACCAAGGCGCUUGAGAGAACUCUGCUGAAGGAACUAGGCAAAAUGGUACCGUAACUUCGGGAGAAGGUACGCUGUUGUUGGUGAUGGAACUCGCUUCCUGAGCUGACGACAGCCGCAGAAACCAGGCCGCUGCAACUGUUUAUUAAAAACAUAGCACUCUGCAAACACGAAAGUGGACGUAUAGGGUGUGAUGCCUGCCCGGUGCUGGAAGGUUAAUUGAUGGGGUUAGCGUAAGCGAAGCUCUUGAUCGAAGCCCCAGUAAACGGCGGCCGUAACUAUAACGGUCCUAAGGUAGCGAAAUUCCUUGUCGGGUAAGUUCCGACCUGCACGAAUGGCAUAAUGAUGGCGGCGCUGUCUCCAGCAGAGGCUCAGUGAAAUCGAAAUCGCUGUGAAGAUGCAGUGUACCCGCGGCUAGACGGAAAGACCCCGUGAACCUUUACUGCAGCUUGACACUGAACUUUGACCUUACUUGUGUAGGAUAGGUGGGAGGCUUUGAAGCUGGAACGCUAGUUCCAGUGGAGCCGUCCUUGAAAUACCACCCUGGUAAUGUUGAGGUUCUAACUCUGUCCCGUGAUCCGGGACGAGGACCGUGUCUGGUGGGUAGUUUGACUGGGGCGGUCUCCUCCUAAAGAGUAACGGAGGAGUACGAAGGUGCGCUCAGCGUGGUCGGAAAUCACGCGUAGAGUAUAAAGGCAAAAGCGCGCUUAACUGCGAGACCCACAAGUCGAGCAGGUACGAAAGUAGGUCUUAGUGAUCCGGUGGUUCUGUAUGGAAGGGCCAUCGCUCAACGGAUAAAAGGUACUCUGGGGAUAACAGGCUGAUACCGCCCAAGAGUUCAUAUCGACGGCGGUGUUUGGCACCUCGAUGUCGGCUCAUCUCAUCCUGGGGCUGAAGCAGGUCCCAAGGGUAUGGCUGUUCGCCAUUUAAAGAGGUACGCGAGCUGGGUUUAGAACGUCGUGAGACAGUUCGGUCCCUAUCUACCGUGGGCGCUGGAAAUUUGAGAGGAUCUGCUCCUAGUACGAGAGGACCAGAGUGGACGAACCUC